GAUGAAGAACGUAGCAAAAUGCGAUACUUGGUGUGAAUUGCAGAAUCCCGUAAACCAUCGAGUUUUUGAACGCAAGUUGCGCCCGAAGCCUUUUGGCCGAGGGCACGUCUGCCUGGGCGUCACGCAUCGCGUCGCCCCCCACAAUUCUCCGUAAAAGGAACAUGUGUUUUGGGGGCGGAUAUUGGUCUCCCGUGCUCAUGGCGUGGUUGGCCGAAAUAGGAGUCCUUUCGAUGGACGCACGAACUAGUGGUGGUCGUAAAAACCCUCGUCUUUUGUUUCGUGCUGUUGCUCGCAAGGUAAACUCUUUAAAAACCCCAAUGUGUCGUCUCUUGACGACGCUUCGACCGCUACCCCAGGUCAGGCGGGACUACCCGCUGAGUUUAAGCAUAUCAAUAAGCGGAGGA
RNAcentral lists this unclassified non-coding RNA (404 nucleotides) under soil metagenome. RNAcentral describes it as "partial contains 5.8S ribosomal RNA, internal transcribed spacer 2, and large subunit ribosomal RNA". The stretch from base 1 to 122 matches the Rfam family "5.8S ribosomal RNA", at positions 35 to 154 of the family's 154-position model. The record is from RNAcentral.